AGUGAACGCUGGCGGUAGGCCUAACACAUGCAAGUCGAACGGCAGCACAGUAAGAGCUUGCUCUUACGGGUGGCGAGUGGCGGACGGGUGAGGAAUACAUCGGAAUCUACUUUUUCGUGGGGGAUAACGUAGGGAAACUUACGCUAAUACCGCAUACGACCUACGGGUGAAAGCAGGGGAUCUUCGGACCUUGUGCGAUUGAAUGAGCCGAUGUCGGAUUAGCUAGUUGGCGGGGUAAAGGCCCACCAAGGCGACGAUCCGUAGCUGGUCUGAGAGGAUGAUCAGCCCCACUGGAACUGAGACACGGUCCAGACUCCUCCGGGAGGCAGCAGAGGGGAAUAUUGGACAAUGGGCGGAAGCCUGAUCCAGCCAUGCCGAGUAGGUGAAGAAGGCCCUCGGGUUGUAAAGCCCUUCUGUUGGGAAGGAAAAGCAGCAGGUUAAUACCCCGCUGUUCUGACGGUACCCAAUGAAUAAGCACCGGCUAACUUCGUG
This 492-nucleotide ribosomal RNA is filed under the name uncultured bacterium. RNAcentral describes it as "partial 16S ribosomal RNA". It matches the Rfam family "Bacterial small subunit ribosomal RNA", at positions 29 to 507 of the family's 1533-position model. The record is from RNAcentral.